Long non-coding RNA from Octopus bimaculoides (California two-spot octopus), 553 nucleotides. RefSeq lists it as uncharacterized. NCBI's taxonomy places the organism in Eukaryota, Metazoa, Mollusca, Cephalopoda, Octopoda, Octopodidae. The record is from RefSeq and is a predicted model, not a curated record.
GCGGUUUUUUUUACCUACAGCAAGAUGUCUGCCAGUGAAUUUGAAAAAAACGAAAACCGCAGAUGGAAGAGGGCAAACAGUAUUAUAUAUUGGAAGGUGCUCGGAGUCAAGGAUCAGCCCGAACCCCUCGGGGUGGAGGUCGAUCCUUCCUGAGUCGGUCGACGAUACGUUGUUUCUGUCUACCAAAUGCACUCACAUUUGAUCGGCUCAAGGUUAUAGUAAACGACACUUACCCAUAUGGAACCGAACCCAAGUCAACUCGUUUGGAAACAAGCUUCUUAUCCACACAGUCACACUUGUGUCUGCUGUUGAAUUAUUCUUCACAAUGGCUUACAUAUUGUCGAUGAUUACAUAUUGAUAGUACGUAUGAAAUAUGUGUUACACAGUAGUAUAUUAUUGGUUGUUCAGUCAGUUCUUGGAGAGAGAGAGAGAGAGAGAGAGAGAGAGAGAGAGAGAGAGGUGGAAAAGAAAGAAAUAAAGAAAGAAACAAAGAAAGACGUCUCGCUGGAAAUGUAUUGUCUGUAAUUAAAUAAAAUACACCAUAUUAUUGCUA